CCUACGGGACGCAGCAGUAGGGAAUCUUCCACAAUGGACGAAAGUCUGAUGGAGCAACGCCGCGUGCAGGAAGAAGGUUUUCGGAUUGUAAACUGCUUUAGACAGGGAAGAUACAAGACAGUACCUGUAAAAUAAGCUCCGGCUAACUACGUGCCAGCAGCCGCGGUAAUACGUAGGGAGCAAGCGUUAUCCGGAUUUAUUGGGUGUAAAGGGUGCGUAGACGGGAAGGCAAGUUGGUUGUGAAAUCCCUCGGCUUAACUGAGGAACUGCAACCAAAACUAUCUUUCUUGAGUGCUCGAGAGGAA
This 305-nucleotide ribosomal RNA is filed under the name uncultured bacterium. RNAcentral's name for it is "bacterial SSU rRNA". It matches the Rfam family "Bacterial small subunit ribosomal RNA", at positions 338 to 659 of the family's 1533-position model. The record is from RNAcentral.